Molecule: non-coding RNA, 48 nt
Filed under: Drosophila melanogaster (fruit fly)
Lineage: Eukaryota; Metazoa; Arthropoda; Insecta; Diptera; Drosophilidae
Description: K10 TLS RNA from Drosophila melanogaster (PDB 2KUV, chain A)
Rfam family: K10 transport/localisation element (TLS)
About the family: This family represents the 44 nucleotide K10 transport/localisation element (TLS) from Drosophila melanogaster. K10 TLS is responsible for the transport and anterior localisation of K10 mRNA and acts to establish dorsoventral polarity in the oocyte.
Source: RNAcentral
GGCUCGAUUGUAUUUUUAAAUUAAUUCUUAAAAACUACAAAUCGAGCC